GAAAGGUGUGUCCUGACCGCAGGACAGAGGGAAAUUUCCAGUUACAGAAGACACUGAUUGCGGUGGCUAGGAAGGAUGCACAAAGAGUUUGACCGGUGGAGGUGACAAGAUUGCAAAAUGUUAGGUCCCUCAUCAUGGCGGAUGCUACCAUCUUCGAAUCAAGACACUGGCGGAUGGUUCAUGAGCCAGGGAUAAUAGGAUCCUUCUGAGAAGAAGAGAAGACUUUGGGGUGAGGAAAGAGUUGGAGUUCCGUACUGGACAUUCUGGUUUAUGAUCAUUCAUUCAGUGACGAGCAGAUGGAUUUCCAAACCAGAAGUUCGGUGAAGAAGUCCAGCUAGACGUACACAUCAGGGGAUCACCGGGGGGCAUCAGGAUGGCAGUUAGAGUC
This is a non-coding RNA of Peromyscus maniculatus bairdii (prairie deer mouse), 388 nucleotides long. The record is from RefSeq and is a predicted model, not a curated record. Lineage: Eukaryota; Metazoa; Chordata; Mammalia; Rodentia; Cricetidae.